Molecule: RNase P RNA, 406 nt
Filed under: Alphaproteobacteria bacterium
Lineage: Bacteria; Pseudomonadati; Pseudomonadota; Alphaproteobacteria
Description: RNase P RNA component class A
Rfam family: Bacterial RNase P class A
About the family: Ribonuclease P (RNase P) is a ubiquitous endoribonuclease, found in archaea, bacteria and eukarya as well as chloroplasts and mitochondria. Its best characterised activity is the generation of mature 5'-ends of tRNAs by cleaving the 5'-leader elements of precursor-tRNAs.
Source: RNAcentral
UCAGUCGGCCGGACGGCCGUCCCGGCAAGGACCGAAAGGUCGCCGGGGAGGAAAGUCCGGGCUCCAUGGACAUGCGGUGCCGGAUAACGUCCGGCGGGGGUGACCCCAGGGAAAGUGCCACAGAAAACGCAAACCGCCGUGGGCGAAAUCCCGCGGCAAGGGUGAAACGGUGCGGCAAGAGCGCACCGCGCCUGCGGCGACGCAGGCGGCACGGCAAACCCCACCGGGAGCAAGACCGAAUAGGGGCGGCACGGGGAGAAAUCCCCGGAUCGAUGUCCGGAUCGGCCGCCCGGGUAGGUUGCUCGAGACGCCGGGCAACCGGCGUUCCAGAGGAAUGGCCGUCACGCGCAAGGUGCGUUGUUUGCUUUGCGCCGUACAGAACCCGGCUUACAGGCCGGCUGGCGUG